AUACGAAAGGUGCAAGCGUUGUUCGGAUUUACAGGGCGUAAAGAGAGUGUAGGUGGUUUAUUAAGUCGGAUGUGAAAUCCCGGGGCUCAACCUCGGAACUGCAUUCGAUACUGAUAGGCUAGAGUUUGGGAGGGGUAAGCGGAAUUCCGUGUGUAGCAGUGAAAUGCGUAGAUAUACGGAGGAACACCUGAGGCGAAGGCGGCUUACUGGACCAAUACUGACACUGAGACUCGAAAGCGUGGGUAGCAAACAGGAUUAGAAACCCUAGUAGUCC
RNAcentral lists this ribosomal RNA (274 nucleotides) under uncultured bacterium. Its description in RNAcentral is "partial 16S ribosomal RNA". It matches the Rfam family "Bacterial small subunit ribosomal RNA", at positions 523 to 796 of the family's 1533-position model. The record is from RNAcentral.